GAUGAACGCUGGCGGCGUGCCUAAUACAUGCAAGUCGAGCGAACAGACGAGGAGCUUGCUCCUCUGACGUUAGCGGCGGACGGGUGAGUAACACGUGGAUAACCUACCUAUAAGACUGGGAUAACUUCGGGAAACCGGAGCUAAUACCGGAUAAUAUAUUGAACCGCAUGGUUCAAUAGUGAAAGACGGUUUUGCUGUCACUUAUAGAUGGAUCCGCGCCGCAUUAGCUAGUUGGUAAGGUAACGGCUUACCAAGGCAACGAUGCGUAGCCGACCUGAGAGGAUGAUCGGCCACACUGGAACUGAGACACGGUCCAGACUCCUACGGGAGGCAGCAGUAGGGAAUCUUCCGCAAUGGGCGAAAGCCUGACGGAGCAACGCCGCGUGAGUGAUGAAGGUCUUCGGAUCGUAAAACUCUGUUAUUAGGGAAGAAAAAAUGUGUAAGUAACUAUGCACGUCUUGACGGUACCUAAUCAGAAAGCCACGGCUAACUACGUG
RNAcentral lists this ribosomal RNA (497 nucleotides) under uncultured bacterium. RNAcentral's name for it is "partial 16S ribosomal RNA". It matches the Rfam family "Bacterial small subunit ribosomal RNA", at positions 28 to 507 of the family's 1533-position model. The record is from RNAcentral.